This 207-nucleotide unclassified non-coding RNA is filed under the name uncultured Luellia. Its description in RNAcentral is "sequence contains ITS1". Lineage: Eukaryota; Fungi; Basidiomycota; Agaricomycetes; Trechisporales; Hydnodontaceae. The record is from RNAcentral.
AUGAAUUAAACCGGGGGCGGCGGGGUGCGGCUCAGCACCGGCGGAGACGCCGUGUCGCGGGUUCGCUCCGUCCCCUCAUCCACAACCCACACACAUGUGCACCACAGGGACGGCGGGUGGAUAACGCACGCCGUCUCGCUUUACAAGCUCUGAAGUUUACUUUGAAUGUCAUUUGAUUCGGGCUAGCCCCGAUGUAAUUAAACAUAA